RNAcentral lists this transfer RNA (17 nucleotides) under Stenandrium guineense. RNAcentral describes it as "partial tRNA-His". Lineage: Eukaryota; Viridiplantae; Streptophyta; Magnoliopsida; Lamiales; Acanthaceae. The record is from RNAcentral.
AUGUAGCCAAGUGAUCA